UACGAAGGGUGCUAGCGUUGUUCGGAAUUACUGGGCGUAAAGCGUACGUAGGCGGCUUGGUAAGUCGAUUGUGAAAGCCCCAAGCUCAACUUGGGAACUGCAAUCGAAACUGCCUCGCUUGAGUUUGGUCGGGGAUGGUGGAAUUUCUAGUGUAGGGGUGAAAUCCGUAGAUAUUAGAAGGAAUAUCGGUGGCGAAGGCGACCAUCUAGGCCAAUACUGACGCUAAGGUACGAAAGCGUGGGGAGCAAACAGG
RNAcentral lists this ribosomal RNA (253 nucleotides) under uncultured bacterium. Its description in RNAcentral is "partial 16S ribosomal RNA". It matches the Rfam family "Bacterial small subunit ribosomal RNA", at positions 524 to 776 of the family's 1533-position model. The record is from RNAcentral.